CACGUAGGGGGCAAGCGUUGUCCGGAUUUAUUGGGCGUAAAGAGCUCGUAGGCGGCUCAGUAAGUCAGGUGUGAAACCUCCAGGCUCAACCUGGAGACGCCACCUGAUACUGCUGUGGCUAGAGUCCGGUAGGGGAGCGUGGAAUUCCUGGUGUAGCGGUGAAAUGCGCAGAUAUCAGGAGGAACACCAAUAGCGAAGGCAGCUCGCUGGGACGGUAUUGACGCUGAGGCGCGAAAGCGUGGGGAGCAAACAGG
Molecule: ribosomal RNA, 254 nt
Filed under: uncultured bacterium
Lineage: Bacteria
Description: partial 16S ribosomal RNA
Rfam family: Bacterial small subunit ribosomal RNA
Source: RNAcentral